AGACUCCUUGUUGAAAGAUUCUUCAGGCUUACUACCAUUCACGUCCCCCAGUGGAAGACCACCACCAUUUGAUGAUGCCUGUUUUCGCAUAGCUCGUGGUAUUCUCAAAGGUAUAUCUGUUUCAGUUACGUUUUUCUCAACCUUUGGGGCUGCAGGAACAUUUUCAGGUCUAGAAGAGAGAACUUUUUGUGGUACAUUCGUAGAUAUGUUCGGUUCACUGAUGCUAUUGGUUUCUUUCUUGGGGACUUCAGCAUUAUCUGACUGCGUGGACGGUGGAUCUGGAACAACUACUACUGUGGGCACUGUGGACUUUCGCCAUUUCUUUCUUUGAUUAGUCUUCUGGGCGUUUGAUUUGGCCUGCAAAAAGA
RNAcentral lists this long non-coding RNA (368 nucleotides) under Vigna radiata. RNAcentral describes it as "long non-coding RNA (VRAD_LNC015768)". Lineage: Eukaryota; Viridiplantae; Streptophyta; Magnoliopsida; Fabales; Fabaceae. The record is from RNAcentral.